This 323-nucleotide small RNA is filed under the name Mus caroli (Ryukyu mouse). RNAcentral describes it as "sRNA (MGP_CAROLIEiJ_G0008594.1)". Lineage: Eukaryota; Metazoa; Chordata; Mammalia; Rodentia; Muridae. The record is from RNAcentral.
GGAUGUAAGGUGAUGUGGCUCCAUCUGUCACUCCUUUGUCUGUCAGUCACACUUGUGAGGGCUGACCUGCUGAGCUGGCUGGCAAGGGAAGCAGCCUCCCUUUCCCUCGCAGUUCCAUGUCCUCCACAGCAGAGUUGAGCAACACAGGACUGUUCUCCUGGGAAGGGAUAAAGUAGCUGCGCUCCUUGCCUAGAAACCCCAACACAUUCUCACAGUGCAGGUUUGCUUUGCUGGGGCGGUUUAGCCAGAUGAAUUAUUGUUGCCUCAUUUCCUAUUUUGUUUUGAGAUAGGGUCUCUCUAUGUAGCGUAGGCUGUCCUAGAAC